GAUGAACGUUGGCGGUGUGCCUAAUACAUGCAAGUCGAACGGAGUCAGUAGCAAUAUUGGCUCAGUGGCGAACGGGUGAGUAACGCGUUGGUGAUCUGCCUUGAAGUGUGGAAUAACGUUUCGAAAGAGACGCUAAUACCGCAUGUGCUCUCGAUUUUCAGAAAGUUGAGAGUAAAGGAUUUAUUCGCUUCAAGAGGAGCCUGCGUCCCAUCAGCUGGUUGGUAGGGUAACGGCCUACCAAGGCUAUGACGGGUAGGGGACCUGAGAGGGUGGCCCCCCACAAUGGAACUGAAACACGGUCCAUACACCUACGGGUGGCAGCAGUAGGGAAUAUUAGAAAUGGACGAAAGUCUGAUCUAGCAACACCGCGUGUGCGAAGAAGGCCUUGGGUCGUAAAGCACUUUUUGGAAGGAAUAGGAAGGAAUGUACUUCCAGAAUAAGUCUCGGCUAACUACGUG
RNAcentral lists this ribosomal RNA (458 nucleotides) under uncultured bacterium. RNAcentral's name for it is "bacterial SSU rRNA". It matches the Rfam family "Bacterial small subunit ribosomal RNA", at positions 28 to 507 of the family's 1533-position model. The record is from RNAcentral.